UCCCGAUGGCGGUGAGUAAGGUAGUUGGC
Molecule: non-coding RNA, 29 nt
Filed under: Rattus norvegicus (Norway rat)
Lineage: Eukaryota; Metazoa; Chordata; Mammalia; Rodentia; Muridae
Source: RNAcentral